RNAcentral lists this ribosomal RNA (862 nucleotides) under uncultured bacterium. Its description in RNAcentral is "bacterial SSU rRNA". It matches the Rfam family "Bacterial small subunit ribosomal RNA", at positions 1 to 848 of the family's 1533-position model. The record is from RNAcentral.
AAUUCGCCCUUAGAGUUUGAUCCUGCGCUCAGGAUGAACGCUAGCUACAGGCUUAACACAUGCAAGUCGAGGGGAAACGACAUCGAAAGCUUGCUUUUGAUGGGCGUCGACCGGCGCACGGGUGAGUAACGCGUAUCCAACCUGCCCACCACUUGGGGAUAACCUUGCGAAAGUAAGACUAAUACCCAAUGACGUCUCUAGAAGACAUCUGAAAGAGAUUAAAGAUUUAUCGGUGAUGGAUGGGGAUGCGUCUGAUUAGCUUGUUGGCGGGGUAACGGCCCACCAAGGCGACGAUCAGUAGGGGUUCUGAGAGGAAGGUCCCCCACAUUGGAACUGAGACACGGUCCAAACUCCUACGGGAGGCAGCAGUGAGGAAUAUUGGUCAAUGGACGAGAGUCUGAACCAGCCAAGUAGCGUGCAGGAUGACGGCCCUAUGGGUUGUAAACUGCUUUUAUAAGGGAAUAAAGUGAGUCUCGUGAGACUUUUUGCAUGUACCUUAUGAAUAAGGACCGGCUAAUUCCGUGCCAGCAGCCGCGGUAAUACGGAAGGUCCGGGCGUUAUCCGGAUUUAUUGGGUUUAAAGGGAGCGUAGGCCGGAGAUUAAGCGUGUUGUGAAAUGUAGACGCUCAACGUCUGCACUGCAGCGCGAACUGGUUUCCUUGAGUACGCACAAAGUGGGCGGAAUUCGUGGUGUAGCGGUGAAAUGCUUAGAUAUCACGAAGAACUCCGAUUGCGAAGGCAGCUCACUGGAGCGCAACUGACGCUGAAGCUCGAAAGUGCGGGUAUCGAACAGGAUUAGAUACCCUGGUAGUCCGCACGGUAAACGAUGGAUGCCCGCUGUUGGUCUGAAUAGGUCAGCGGCC